CCUACAAAAAGUUCUUGCUUGGCCUCUUGUCCUGCAAAAUCUCCACCAGCCCUACAUUCCAUCCCCAGAUCCACCCUGCAGUUGGAGCCAGAAGGGCCUCCCAGUGCAGGUCCUCAUCUGUGCACUGCAGGCAGGUGGAACCCUGGUCCUGGAUGGACUAAGGCCUGGAUCAAAGCAACACCAGAUUUCUGGGACUGCAUGAUCUGAGCAAUUCCAGCCAAAGGUCACCCUUCAGUGGUCAGCUGCAACCAGCCUGCCCUGGACCCUGCCCAACUCCCUACCUCCCCCUCCCCUGAGAGCCAGGAAUAAAAAGGACCUGUCUGGCCAUGCUUUAGGCAUGAGUUCAGGAAUAUGCAUGUGCAAGCAAGUGUGAAAAUCUAUAGGUAUGUGUCUGCAAGAAUAUCGAUAUGCAUAUAUGUGUUCGUAUAUAAGUGUAUAUGGUGUACACACGC
Molecule: long non-coding RNA, 452 nt
Organism: Cervus elaphus (red deer)
Lineage: Eukaryota; Metazoa; Chordata; Mammalia; Artiodactyla; Cervidae
Exons: 3
Source: RefSeq, a predicted model, not a curated record